CCUACGGGGGGCAGCAGUGAGGAAUAUUGGUCAAUGGGCGCGAGCCUGAACCAGCCAAGUCGCGUGAGGGAAGACGGUCCUAUGGAUUGUAAACCUCUUUUGUCGGGGAGCAAAAGACGCCACGCGUGGCGUUCCGAGAGUACCCGAAGAAAAAGCAUCGGCUAACUCCGUGCCAGCAGCCGCGGUAAAACGUAGGGGGCGAGCGUUGUCCGGAAUGACUGGGCGUAAAGGGUGCGUAGGCGGCAUAAUAAGUUAGAAGUGAAAUACCCAGAGCUUAACUCGGGUGCUGCUUCUAAGACUGUUGAGCUUGAGUGCGGGAGAGGUUAAUGGAAUUCCUAGUGUAGCGGUGGAAUGCGUAGAUAUUAGGAGGAACACCAGAGGCGAAGGCGAUUAACUGGACCGUAACUGACGCUGAGGCACGAAAGUGUGGGUAGCAAACAGGAUUAGAUACCCGAGUAGUC
Molecule: ribosomal RNA, 461 nt
Filed under: uncultured bacterium
Lineage: Bacteria
Description: partial 16S ribosomal RNA
Rfam family: Bacterial small subunit ribosomal RNA
Source: RNAcentral